Pistacia vera is the source of this 141-nucleotide small nucleolar RNA. RefSeq annotates it as small nucleolar RNA snoR135. NCBI's taxonomy places the organism in Eukaryota, Viridiplantae, Streptophyta, Magnoliopsida, Sapindales, Anacardiaceae. The transcript has a single exon. The record is from RefSeq and is a predicted model, not a curated record.
UUUGCAGGGAAUGUAUCGGCAUUGUGCUAUGAUUAAUGCACUCUGUUACGAAGCAUGCCCUGCAAAAUCAAUGCUAGGAAGAUGAGUAGUUGUGUUUUAAUUUCGGCAAUUAAAAUUGUCAAAAUCAUCUUCCCAGCAACA